This 253-nucleotide ribosomal RNA is filed under the name uncultured bacterium. RNAcentral describes it as "partial 16S ribosomal RNA". It matches the Rfam family "Bacterial small subunit ribosomal RNA", at positions 524 to 776 of the family's 1533-position model. The record is from RNAcentral.
UACGUAGGUGGCGAGCGUUGUCCGGAUUUAUUGGGUUUAAAGGGUGCGUAGGCGGGUGACUAAGUCAGGGGUGAAAGACGGUGGCUCAACCAUCGCAGUGCCUUUGAUACUGGUCGCCUUGAGUGCGGGCGAGGUCUGCGGAAUGGACCGUGUAGCGGUGAAAUGCUCAGAUACGGUCCGGAACACCGAUUGCGAAGGCAGCAGACUGGGGCGCAACUGACGCUGAGGCACGAAAGUGCGGGGAGCAAACAGG